GAUGAACGCUGGCUACAGGCUUAACACAUGCAAGUCGAGGGGAAACGACGGGGAAGCUUGCUUCCCCGGGCGUCGACCGGCGCACGGGUGAGUAACGCGUAUCCAACCUGCCUCUGACUGAGGGAUAACCCGUCGAAAGUCGGCCUAAUACCUCAUGGCAUCGUCUGCGGGCAUCCAACGACGAUUAAAGAUUUCAUCGGUCAGAGAUGGGGAUGCGUCUGAUUAGCUUGUUGGCGGGGUAACGGCCCACCAAGGCGACGAUCAGUAGGGGUUCUGAGAGGAAGGUCCCCCACAUUGGAACUGAGCCACGGCCCAAACUCCUACGGGAGGCAGCAGUGAGGAAUAUGGGUCAAGGGGCGAGAGCCUGAACCAGCCAAGUAGCGUGCAGGAGGACGGCCCUAUGGGUGGUAAACUGCUUUUAGGCGGGGAUAAAGUGAGGGACGUGUCCUUCAUUGCAGGUACCGAAUGAAUAAGGACCGGCUAAUUCCGUG
RNAcentral lists this ribosomal RNA (491 nucleotides) under uncultured bacterium. RNAcentral's name for it is "partial 16S ribosomal RNA". It matches the Rfam family "Bacterial small subunit ribosomal RNA", at positions 28 to 507 of the family's 1533-position model. The record is from RNAcentral.